CAGGAAUCUGUUAGAGGUCCUAUUAUUGAUCCAGGAAAUGUGGGCCAGGAUCCAAAACCAUUGAGAGUCGAAGAAUGUGAAGAAGAAAGCAGGAUCCAGAAAGGGACAACUGGAAGGGAAUAAUUUGAUGGUUAUGCAGUUACAAGGAAUUGCGGGAGGAAGUUCACAUGGGCUAUGAAGGACCGUUCUAGAUUUAUUACGGCAGGAAAGGGCAGGGAUAGUCACAGGAUAUUUAUGCUUUUGCCUACAUGUUGCCUAUAUGUUGUUCAAUGUAAUUUUUAUGAUUUUACAUGUGCAAAUACAUCUAUAUAACCUUCUAUUGUUAAUUUCUCACUACCUGGACCAGUCUCUGAAUAAGAAUACUGAUAGAUAGGACUGUGAAGGGAUUGUAGGACUUUUAUUACUUUCAUGUUAG
RNAcentral lists this unclassified non-coding RNA (415 nucleotides) under Hevea brasiliensis (rubber tree). The record is from RNAcentral. Lineage: Eukaryota; Viridiplantae; Streptophyta; Magnoliopsida; Malpighiales; Euphorbiaceae.